This 496-nucleotide ribosomal RNA is filed under the name uncultured bacterium. RNAcentral's name for it is "partial 16S ribosomal RNA". It matches the Rfam family "Bacterial small subunit ribosomal RNA", at positions 29 to 507 of the family's 1533-position model. The record is from RNAcentral.
ACGAACGCUGGCGGCGUGCCUAAUACAUGCAAGUAGAACGCUGAAGAGAGGAGCUUGCUCUUCUUGGAUGAGUUGCGAACGGGUGAGUAACGCGUAGGUAACCUGCCUUGUAGCGGGGGAUAACUAUUGGAAACGAUAGCUAAUACCGCAUAACAAUGGAUGACACAUGUCAUUUAUUUGAAAGGGGCAAUUGCUCCACUACAAGAUGGACCUGCGCUGUAUUAGCUAGUAGGUGAGGUAAUGGCUCACCUAGGCGACGAUACAUAGCCGACCUGAGAGGGUGAUCGGCCACACUGGGACUGAGACACGGCCCAGACUCCUACGGGAGGCAGCAGUAGGGAAUCUUCGGCAAUGGGGGCAACCCUGACCGAGCAACGCCGCGUGAGUGAAGAAGGUUUUCGGAUCGUAAAGCUCUGUUGUAAGUCAAGAACGGGUGUGAGAGUGGAAAGUUCACACUGUGACGGUAGCUUACCAGAAAGGGACGGCUAACUACGUG